UGUAGAAAAGUCAGCACUAUGGAUUGGGCUCCUUUGCUCCUUACCUUCCUCAGUCUCUACACAGGGUCCAUGGCUCAGGCGGUGCUGACCCAGCCACCCUCAUUAUCCAAGGUCUCAGGAGAGACGGCCAUACUUACCUGCACUGGAAACAGCAACAAUGUUGGCUAUGAAGGAGCAGGCUGGGUGCAGCUGCAGCAGCAGGGCCAAUCCCCCAAAACCCUGGUCAACAGGAAUAACAACCGACUCUCAGGGAUCCCAGAGAGAUUCUCUGGCACCAGAUCAGGCAACUCAGCCUCCCUGACCAUCACAGGGAUCCAGCCUGAGGAUGAGGCUGAUUAUUACUGUGCAGCAUGGGACAAAAGCCAGAGUGCUUCCACAACAUGUCAGGUCAAUGGAGAAGUGAGACAAAAACCCAGGAGCUCCCAUGACACACAAAUACAUGAGAAGUGA
This is a non-coding RNA of Heterocephalus glaber (naked mole-rat), 450 nucleotides long. The record is from the annotation of a RefSeq genome assembly. Lineage: Eukaryota; Metazoa; Chordata; Mammalia; Rodentia; Bathyergidae.